This 492-nucleotide ribosomal RNA is filed under the name Triticum aestivum (bread wheat). RNAcentral's name for it is "partial small subunit ribosomal RNA". The record is from RNAcentral. Lineage: Eukaryota; Viridiplantae; Streptophyta; Magnoliopsida; Poales; Poaceae.
AUGUGUGUCCCUGACCUCAGUAUUCUUAGGAGUGCUGUGUUAGAAGGCAAAUCUUAUAAUCUGGGAGCCAUUGUUGCACGUAGGUUGCAUCUUAAUAGAUUUAAUGGAGAUUUCUUUGGUGGAAUUUAUGCAACCCGCAUAGCUAAUUUUCUUGGUGUAUCCAUACACGAAGAUGAUAUUGAAUUACCUCCUGCUUACCUAGACUUUAAUGCUAUGGUUCACCACCAGUUUGUCAAGAGGAAUGAAUCGCCUCUCCAGUAUCAACUAAUCAUUGACAGACGCCGUGCUGUCCAUAUUACUCUCCCUGCUCCUGCCUUCUUUGAUCAUCAGGCAAAAGGAAGAUAUGUUAUUACCAGGGAGGAGGCAGAUGAGUACGAGAGGAGAGGGGAGGCCGCUCGUCGCCAUGCUGGAGCUCAGGAGGCGAUAGCCGCUGCAUCUCAGUACAAUCCCAACUUCUACUACGGAUAUCCGCCAGGCCAACCGUGGCCAUAG